GCUGGAGAAGAAGAAGCUACCAAAAAUUUGGCAGGAUAUGUUCGGAACCAUGAAGCUAUGGGUUUGCGCUGGCGCUGUGAUAGAGCUCCUAGGACUGUCUGCUAACUACUACCACGGCGCUGCAGCUAAAGAACCCGACGAAUGACCUGAGGUUCAUGUUGCUCUCUGCGCUAGAAUGACCUGAGGUUCACGUUGCUCUGUGUCCUUGCAGUCGUGCCCUUUGUUUAUUUAUUGCCUGAUUUAGCAGAUCUGCAUUACAUGUCUCAUCGGCCGGCACUCUUGUCAGGAUGCAUCAAUCCUCAUUUUGUAGUAUUAUGUAAGCCCUAUUUUGUGCCUUGAUACCUCUACUUACUAGGUUUGUGGUUCAUGGACAAACCUAUAUUAAUAUAUCUAUAUAAUCAUACUGGGUUGGCC
This 414-nucleotide long non-coding RNA is filed under the name Hordeum vulgare. Its description in RNAcentral is "long non-coding RNA (HVUL_LNC017219)". Lineage: Eukaryota; Viridiplantae; Streptophyta; Magnoliopsida; Poales; Poaceae. The record is from RNAcentral.